AACGUAGGGGACAAGCGUUAUCCGGAUUUACUGGGCGUAAAGCGCCCGUAGGCGGCCUGUCAAGUUGGAUGUGAAAGCUCCUGGCUUAACUGGGAGAGGUCAUUCAAAACUGACAGGCUAGAGGAUGGAAGAGGAGAGCGGAAUUCCCGGUGUAGUGGUGGAAUGCGUAGAGAUCGGGAGGAACACCAGUGGCGAAAGCGGCUCUCUGGUCCGUACCUGACGCUGAGGGGCGAAAGCGUGGGGAGCGAACGGGAUUAGAUACCCCGGUAGUCCACGCUGUAAACGAUGGAUACUAGGUGUAGGCGGUCAUUAACCCCGUCUGUGCCGCAGCCAACGCGUUAAGUAUCCCGCCUGGGGAGUACGGCCGCAAGGUUAAA
RNAcentral lists this ribosomal RNA (377 nucleotides) under uncultured bacterium. RNAcentral's name for it is "bacterial SSU rRNA". It matches the Rfam family "Bacterial small subunit ribosomal RNA", at positions 524 to 898 of the family's 1533-position model. The record is from RNAcentral.